GUGGGGAAUAUUGGACAAUGGGCGAAAGCCUGAUCCAGCCAUGCCGCGUGUGUGAAGAAGGUCUUCGGAUUGUAAAGCACUUUAAGUUGGGAGGAAGGGCAGUAAGUUAAUACCUUGCUGUUUUGACGUUACCGACAGAAUAAGCACCGGCUAACUUCGUGCCAGCAGCCGCGGUAAUACGAAGGGUGCAAGCGUUAAUCGGAAUUACUGGGCGUAAAGCGCGCGUAGGUGGUUUUGUAAGUUGGAGGUGAAAUCCACGGGCUCAACCUGGGAACUGCCUCCAAAACUGCAUGACUAGAGUACGGUAGAGGGUAGUGGAAUUUCCUGUGUAGCGGUGAAAUGCGUAGAUAUAGGAAGGAACACCAGUGGCGAAGGCGACUACCUGGACUGAUACUGACACUGAGGUGCGAAAGCGUGGGGAGCAAACAGGAUUAGAAACCCGAGUAGUCC
Molecule: ribosomal RNA, 450 nt
Filed under: uncultured bacterium
Lineage: Bacteria
Description: bacterial SSU rRNA
Rfam family: Bacterial small subunit ribosomal RNA
Source: RNAcentral